Molecule: ribosomal RNA, 308 nt
Filed under: uncultured bacterium
Lineage: Bacteria
Description: bacterial SSU rRNA
Rfam family: Bacterial small subunit ribosomal RNA
Source: RNAcentral
ACCAAAUAGAUACCCUGGUAGUCCACGCCCUAAACGAUGCGAACUGGAUGUUGGGUACAUUACGGUACUCAGUGUCGAAAGCUAAACGCGUUAAGUUCGCCGCCUGGGGAGUACGGUCGCAAGACUGAAACUCAAAGGAAAUUGACGGGGGCCCGGCACAAGCGGUGGAGUAUGUGGUUUAAUUCGUAUGCAACGCGAAGAACCUUACCUGGCCUUGACAUCUGUCGAAUCCUGCAGAGAUGCGGGAGUGCCGCAAGGAACGACAAGACAGGUGCUGCAUGGCUGUCGUCAGCUCGUGUCGUGAGAUG